GUUUGAAUGAUGACUUAAAUUGUCGGAUACCCCUUCACCCCUGCCAUGGGUGAAACCUAAGAGUCUGACAAAC
Molecule: small nucleolar RNA, 73 nt
Organism: Jaculus jaculus (lesser Egyptian jerboa)
Lineage: Eukaryota; Metazoa; Chordata; Mammalia; Rodentia; Dipodidae
Product: predicted gene, 23130
Source: Ensembl